GAUGAAGAACGCAGCGAAAUGCGAUAAGUAGUGUGAAUUGCAGAAUUCAGUGAAUCAUCGAAUCUUUGAACGCACAUUGCGCCCCUUGGUAUUCCAUGGGGCAUGCCUGUUCGAGCGUCAUUUGUACCUUCAAGCUUCGCUUGGUGUUGGGUGUUUGUCCAUUCUCUUGCAGAGGGACUCGCCUUAAAGUAAUUGGCAGCCAGUGUUUUGGUUUUGAAGCGCAGCACAAGUCGCGAUUCAACGCUAUACGCCAGCUUCCACAAGCCUUUUUCACUUUUGACCUCGGAUCAGGUAGGGAUACCCGCUGAACUUAAGCAUAUCAAUAAGCGGAGGA
This 334-nucleotide unclassified non-coding RNA is filed under the name soil metagenome. Its description in RNAcentral is "partial contains 5.8S ribosomal RNA, internal transcribed spacer 2, and large subunit ribosomal RNA". The stretch from base 1 to 120 matches the Rfam family "5.8S ribosomal RNA", at positions 35 to 154 of the family's 154-position model. The record is from RNAcentral.